CAUGGAAAAAGACUAGUUAUAUGAAUUCGGUCUAUUAGUGUCACAAUUGAUUGUACUCUAGCUAUCUAAAAUCAAUUAUCAAACUACAAAAUACCAAGGCUUACUACUUCCGUCUUAAUUCAACACCUAAUCCAUUCUAUGACUAUCAAUUCAACAAUACUUCCAUAUUCUUAUCUGUUCAUCUCCCACUUAUUCUCUUUGUGGUUUAUAUAUAUUUAAUUAUUGAUCUUUAGCUUACCUAUUAUAUUCAGUUUCUCAAUUCAUCACACAGAAUUCAAUAUCUUUACUUAACACAACACAAUUCGAUAAUCUCAAUUCUCA
Molecule: long non-coding RNA, 321 nt
Filed under: Physcomitrium patens
Lineage: Eukaryota; Viridiplantae; Streptophyta; Bryopsida; Funariales; Funariaceae
Description: long non-coding RNA (PPAT_LNC004513)
Source: RNAcentral